CGCAAUAAAGGGUGAUAGCCCCGUAACCGACACAUCAUAAUCAGUGAAAACGAGUAGGGCGGGACACGUGAUAUCCUGUCUGAAUAUGGGGGGACCAUCCUCCAAGGCUAAAUACUACUGACUGACCGAUAGUGAACCAGUACCGUGAGGGAAAGGCGAAAAGAACCCCUGUGAGGGGAGUGAAAUAGAACCUGAAACCGUGUACGUACAAGCAGUAGGAGCACCUUCGUGGUGUGACUGCGUACCUUUUGUAUAAUGGGUCAGCGACUUAAUUUUAGUAGCAAGGUUAACCGUUUAGGGGAGCCGUAGGGAAACCGAGUCUUAACUGGGCGUACAGUUGCUAGGAUUAGACCCGAAACCAGGUGAUCUAGCCAUGGGCAGGUUGAAGGUUGAGUAACAUCAACUGGAGGACCGAACCGACUAAUGUUGAAAAAUUAGCGGAUGACUUGUGGCUAGGGGUGAAAGGCCAAUCAAACCUGGAGAUAGCUGGUUCUCCCCGAAAGCUAUUUAGGUAGCGCCUCGGACGAAUACUACUGGGGGUAGAGCACUGUUAAGGCUAGGGGGUCAUCCCGACUUACCAACCCUUUGCAAACUCCGAAUACCAGUAAGUACUAUCCGGGAGACACACGGCGGGUGCUAACGUCCGUCGUGGAGAGGGAAACAACCCAGACCGCCAGCUAAGGUCCCAAAGUAUAGCUAAGUGGGAAACGAUGUGGGAAGGCUCAGACAGCCAGGAUGUUGGCUUAGAAGCAGCCAUCAUUUAAAGAAAGCGUAAUAGCUCACUGGUCGAGUCGGCCUGCGCGGAAGAUGUAACGGGGGCUAAGCUAUACACCGAAGCUGCGGCUACGUACCUUAGGGUAUGUGGGGUAGGGGAGCGUUCUGUAAGCCGUUGAAGGUGGUCUGUAAGGGCUGCUGGAGGUAUCAGAAGUGCGAAUGCUGACAUGAGUAACGAUAAAGGGAGUGAAAAACUCCCUCGCCGGAAGACCAAGGGUUCCUGUCCAACGUUAAUCGGGGCAGGGUAAGUCGACUCCUAAGGCGAGGCCGAAAGGCGUAGUCGAUGGGAAACGGGUUAAUAUUCCCGUACUUCUUACAAUUGCGAUGGGGGGACGGAGAAGGCUAG
Molecule: ribosomal RNA, 1120 nt
Filed under: Vibrio tasmaniensis 1F-267
Lineage: Bacteria; Pseudomonadati; Pseudomonadota; Gammaproteobacteria; Vibrionales; Vibrionaceae
Description: bacterial LSU rRNA
Rfam family: Bacterial large subunit ribosomal RNA
Source: RNAcentral